UCUAACUGAUAGUUCGAGGAGUGGAAUGAUCGGGUAACGCCGUGAAACGCUCCCUCUGAGACUACGGCAAAAAGGAAUGUUUGUAAUAACAAAUCCUUGAUGCAGCCCGUCGAAGUCGGCGGAAGUCUGCCCCAGCAAUUGUUGCUGUGGAAAUCGGCUUGGAGGCAAGCUGUGCAGAUGAUACGCC
Desulfosporosinus sp. is the source of this 187-nucleotide non-coding RNA. The record is from Rfam. Lineage: Bacteria; Bacillati; Bacillota; Clostridia; Eubacteriales; Desulfitobacteriaceae.